Molecule: long non-coding RNA, 841 nt
Organism: Megalobrama amblycephala (Wuchang bream)
Lineage: Eukaryota; Metazoa; Chordata; Actinopteri; Cypriniformes; Xenocyprididae
Exons: 2
Source: RefSeq, a predicted model, not a curated record
UGUAAAAUGACGGCAUGUCAACAACACUCUACUACAACAACUCUUCCUCUUCUCUAAAGCAGCCCAACAUGGCCCGCCCCCUUUGUUGAGUGUUCUCGGGGGCGGGGUUUAUGUAAAGCGCAUUGAGAUAAGAAAAUAUCUUGAACUAUGAGCGUCGUAACUUUGCAGAUGUUGUUUAUGCUCAAACAGCAAUAUUACACACUAACUAAAGUUAAAAAAGUGAAAUCAUAAUCAACCACGCCUUUAAACUAAUAUGUUGUCAGCAAGUUGUUGUUCGUAAAUGUAUUUAAAUAUAUUAAAUAAUUAAGACAUUACUAACAGGUAAAGUAAAUAUAAUGAAUAUAAGCUAAUAUAGUGCAUAUAUUUAGUGAAAUGGUCCUCUAGAGUUCAUUUCUCCAGUGAACUAACAUGCUGUGGACACUAAAUGACUUGCCUGAGGUAAAUGUAAUGCUGUGUGAGAUAUUCUCAAGCUGUUUUAGAGAUUACAUGUAAACAUUUCUAUACAUAGAUCAUCUGUUCUUCUUCUGCUCUUUUUUCCUGUUGUGACAGUUAGCAAACAGCAUUGCAUUACCAUACGCGCCCCCUUCUGGAUUUUAGUGUGAAUCACCUGUGACUGAUUGUACUCGUCGUCUGACUGUAUGCACUAAACUGUGACGUCCAAACCAUGAAAGUUCAGGAUGAAUACAUAUACUGUUACACCCCUAGUAAAUACACAAGACAAGAGAUGAACUCAGCAGAGUGGCUUUAUUGCACAGAUGGUGACUGGAGGACAUGACUUUCACUCAAACUCAAAGAUUCAAAGAAGAAAUGUCCAUGUUGCAAAAAGGUAAUCCAUCUGUCA